AUUGAACGCUGGCGGCAGGCCUAACACAUGCAAGUCGAACGAGUGGCGGACGGGUGAGUAAUGUCUGGGAAUCUGGCUUAUGGAGGGGGAUAACGACUGGAAACUGUCGCUAAUACCGCGUACCAUAGGAUGAGCCCAAGUGGGAUUAGGUAGUUGGUGGGGUAAUGGCUCACCAAGGCGACGAUCCCUAGCUGGUCUGAGAGGAUGACCAGCCACACCGGAACUGAGACACGGCCCAGACUCCUACGGGAGGCAGCAGUGGGGAAUAUUGCGCAAUGGGGGCAAGCCUGACGCAGCCAUGCCGCGUGAAUGAAGAAGGCCUUCGGGUUGUAAAGUACUUUCAGUGGGGAGGCGUUAAUCGCAGAAGAAGCACCGGCUAACUCCGUGCCAGCAGCCGCGGUAAUUC
This 406-nucleotide ribosomal RNA is filed under the name uncultured bacterium. Its description in RNAcentral is "partial 16S ribosomal RNA". It matches the Rfam family "Bacterial small subunit ribosomal RNA", at positions 30 to 526 of the family's 1533-position model. The record is from RNAcentral.